This 176-nucleotide long non-coding RNA is filed under the name Junco hyemalis (dark-eyed junco). RNAcentral's name for it is "lncRNA (ENSJHYG00000015156.1)". Lineage: Eukaryota; Metazoa; Chordata; Aves; Passeriformes; Passerellidae. The record is from RNAcentral.
UAUUCAUUCCUGCUUCCUCCUACUUGCUCCACACAUUGCCAUACAUUUGGUCUGUUAGGAGUUCCUCCUUCACACUUCCACCUCUACUUCCCCUAAAUCCGUGAACACAAAUGCCAAACCUCAGAAUGAUUGCUGUACCUGGGAGGCUUCAGAGCCGAGGCAGCAGUGACUGAAUG